RNAcentral lists this long non-coding RNA (1057 nucleotides) under Daphnia magna. RNAcentral describes it as "uncharacterized LOC116918274". The record is from RNAcentral. Lineage: Eukaryota; Metazoa; Arthropoda; Branchiopoda; Diplostraca; Daphniidae.
UCAGUAAGGGUUUUGAUACUGUAUCGAGUAGCUGACUACGAUUAGAGGUAAACAAAAAGUCGUGUUUCAAUUAAAAAGAGUCAUUGUGAAAAUAAUUAUUCGAUUAGAAAUUAGGGAAAGAUAAAGCGGCACGGUGAAUUUUGAAAAAGAAAAAACCAUUAUUAUACUAACGUUUCUAAAUAGUGAGAAAUAAAUUUUAAAAAAUCAUUUAUUUUUUAAUUUAAUGUAGCAUUUAUUAAAUUAAUUAUUAAUUUGUAAUCAUAGCUAUUUACUCCACAGGCAUCUAUGGCAAUUGGCAACCUCUCUUUCUAUACAAAUAAUAAUAAUAAUGCAGCAUUUGGCACUAUUCGUCUGCUGUUCUGCAUAGAGGCGUCUGCUACUGUCUUUCCAAAUUCUCCGCUUGGAUCAGUAGAAAUUACUGAUGCAAGCUGAGAAUCUCAGCUACUUGAUACGACCCGUGUGUCGUGAAAAGGAGUGUCUUGUUCUUAUUGAGUAAUAUUUUAGUUAUAUUUUUUUUAAUUUAUUUAGAUGGAAGGGAGUCUGUUUGGGCAAAGGGUGGCAAUGGAAAAGGGGAAGCAUGCAUCGAAACUAUAAAAUCAAGCUACCAUAGAUCCUGUUCUGAAUGCACUCAGUGCAGUUGACAGAUUUAAGGAUUUAAAAAAUAAUAAUUUAUCAACCCGACUGAUAAAAGCCAACUGCCGAUACCACAAUCUAGCUCAGCUGAUUCCAAAUGUCCGGAAUCACAGCUGGAGUUUGAAUUUUUAAUCAUAAUCAAUAAAAUUACUUCAAUUCUAGUAACACUAACUAUUUUUAUUUUAUCUGUUUCAGAGUAAACAACUGAUUUUGAAUAGACAGUCAAACUCACAAUGAAGACCAGGUGCAGCAGAAGUGGUCAGAAAAACUGAAAUUUCAUCAAGUAUUGGUGUAAAGUUUAUGUGGAAUAUAUGUUUCAGAGCCAGCCUAAGUGCUGGAUGUGUGCUUGCACAAAUCCGGUGAAUUUCACAAAAAAAUAUUGAACAAAAAAAUACCAAUAAUACACAUAUUAUUUUUGCAUUUA